GAUGAACGCUGGCGGCGUGCCUAAUACAUGCAAGUCGAGCGAACAGACGAGGGCCUUGCGCGUCUGACGUUAGCCGCGGACGGGUGAGUAACACGUGGAUAACCUACCUAUAAGACUGGGAUAACUGCGGGAAACCGGAGCUUAUACCGGAUAAUAUAUUGAACCGCAUGGUGCAAUAGUGAAAUACGGUUUUGCUGUCACUUAUAGAUGGAUCCGCGCCGCAUUAGCUAGUUGGUAAGGUAACGGCUUACCAAGGCGGCCAUGCGUAGCCGACCUGAGAGGGUGAUCGGCCACACUGGAGGUGAGACAGGGUCAAGAGGACUACGGGAGGCAGCAGUAUGGAAUCUGAGGCAAUGGGGGAGAGCCUGACGGAGCGACGCCGAGUGAGUGAUGAAGGUCUUCGGUUCGUAAAACUCUGUUAUUAGGGAAGAACAAAUGUGUCAGUAACUAUGCGCGUCUUGACGGUACCUAGUCAGAAAGCCACGGCUAACUACGUG
This 497-nucleotide ribosomal RNA is filed under the name uncultured bacterium. RNAcentral describes it as "partial 16S ribosomal RNA". It matches the Rfam family "Bacterial small subunit ribosomal RNA", at positions 28 to 507 of the family's 1533-position model. The record is from RNAcentral.